GAAUGAAGACUGGCGUUAGCCUCGAGGCAGUAGCGAAGAUUGGAGCUUGGAUCAGUGCUGAGCUUGGCCGUGAGAACGAUAGCAGAGCCGGGAAGGCAACCGUCAGCAGGCUUCAAGGAUAGAUUUUAUUUUUAUUUAAAGUUGCAAUUCCCAGUCAUCAUAAUCUCCCCCAUCCACCCUUUUGUUCGAUGAAAAAUAUCCUUGUCCUUGCUCUCAUAACUUUGACUUGAAGUACCCUCCAUGAUUCACGGAUGAUGUCCUGGGCCAGCAGAUUGUAUAUAGUUAAGAACAGACAAUUCCCAUUGCAGUGUAUGCAG
RNAcentral lists this small nucleolar RNA (317 nucleotides) under Trichophyton rubrum BMU01672. RNAcentral describes it as "CD-box snoRNA". Lineage: Eukaryota; Fungi; Ascomycota; Eurotiomycetes; Onygenales; Arthrodermataceae. The record is from RNAcentral.